UAGGGAAUCUUCCACAAUGGACGCAAGUCUGAUGGAGCAACGCCGCGUGAGUGAAGAAGGUCUUCGGAUCGUAAAGCUCUGUUGUUGGUGAAGAAGGAUAGAGGCAGUAACUGGUCUUUAUUUGACGGUAAUCAACCAGAAAGUCACGGCUAACUACGUGCCAGCAGCCGCGGUAAUACGUAGGUGGCAAGCGUUGUCCGGAUUUAUUGGGCGUAAAGCGAGCGCAGGCGGAAUGAUAAGUCUGAUGUGAAAGCCCACGGCUCAACCGUGGAACUGCAUCGGAAACUGUCAUUCUUGAGUGCAGAAGAGGAGAGUGGAACUCCAUGUGUAGCGGUGGAAUGCGUAGAUAUAUGGAAGAACACCAGUGGCGAAGGCGGCUCUCUGGUCUGCAAACUGACGCUGAGGCUCGAAAGCAUGGGUAGCGAACAGGAUUAGAUACCCUGGUAGUCCAUGCCGUAAACGAUGA
Molecule: ribosomal RNA, 466 nt
Filed under: uncultured bacterium
Lineage: Bacteria
Description: partial 16S ribosomal RNA
Rfam family: Bacterial small subunit ribosomal RNA
Source: RNAcentral